This 423-nucleotide ribosomal RNA is filed under the name uncultured archaeon. RNAcentral describes it as "partial 16S ribosomal RNA". It matches the Rfam family "Archaeal small subunit ribosomal RNA", at positions 323 to 746 of the family's 1478-position model. The record is from RNAcentral.
CUACGGGGGGCUCCAGUCGCGAAACCUUCGCAAUGCGCGCAAGCGUGACGAGGGAAUCCCACGUGCAAACUCUUUGAGUUUGCUUUUGCCGUCUGUUAAAAGGACGGCGAAUAAGUGAGUGGGUAAGACCGGUGCCAGCCGCCGCGGUAAUCCCGGCGCCACAAGUGGUAUUCACGAUUAUUGGGUCCAAAGCAUCCGUAGCCGGUUCGUUAAGUUCUUUGUGAAAUCCGGCAGCUUAACUGUCGGGCAUGCAAAGAAUACUAGCGAGCUAGAGAGCGGGAGAAGUAGGCGGUAUGCCCAAGGGAGCGGUAAAAUGUUUUAAUCUUGGGUGGACCACCGAUGGCGAAGGCAGCCUACUAGAACGCGUCUGACGGUGAGGGAUGAAAGCUAGGGGAGCAAAAGGGAUUAGAUACCCCCGUAGUC